This 865-nucleotide long non-coding RNA is filed under the name Homo sapiens (human). RNAcentral's name for it is "HSALNT0224901". The record is from RNAcentral. Lineage: Eukaryota; Metazoa; Chordata; Mammalia; Primates; Hominidae.
ACUGAGUAUACUGGGCCCAGCCAGAUUCUCUGGGUGCUUUCUUCUUUCUUAGUUCCCCCUUUAUUGUGGGCCCUCCUCAGUGCCAACAUUGCUUUGUCUCUCGCUGGAGAAGCCUGUGAGAACGAGGAUGGGCAAAGUGUCAGGCUCUUGGUGCAGCUGAAAAUCCUUUGAGAUGGAAGAAAUGGCUGGAACAAAGGGGCAGAGGAACAAAAAGCCCUGAACUGCUUCGCCCCUGCCUCGUGGGGUCUUUAUCAUCUUAAACCUUGGGAUUUGGGCUUUGAUCAACUCGGCCUUCCUGGGCCUCGGGGAGAGAGACGGACUGCCUCCGGGUGCUCAUGACCUUUCCAGCAGUAAGCCAAUAAUGUAUGACUCCUGCGUUGCCGUUGCUCGUUUGAGAACAAAUGGAGAGACCUCGUUCAGUCGAUGGAUGGUAGCAACAAGGAAGAAAGCAAAUGGAGAAAUGACAUCUCAUGACCCAGGUGAAGCCUACUGUUACUAUUUGGCUAAAAUAAGCCACAUAGCUUGUGUUGAAGAAUCUUUUUUAUUUCUUUAAGAAGAAUUUGGUGCCCAUGAAAGUGAUCAAAGUUUUUUGUUCUCCAGUGACAUCAAGCAGGAGAAAAGGAUAUACUCUCCAUUGUGUGGUCUGUGGACUGGCAGCAUCAUCAUGGGUGAGAAAUGAAAAACGUGGGGUCUUCCCUCACAUGGAUCAGUAUCUGCAGUUUCACAAGCUCCCGAGGGGUGAGUGCACAUGAAGGAUUGAGUAUUGCUCCAAAUAACCAGACCAACAAGGGAGGAUGCCUUUGGUGGAAGCCAAAGUUACUGCCUAAAAGACCAGUUUACUACAAAUAGGUAAGAAGAAACCUGC